Molecule: ribosomal RNA, 207 nt
Filed under: uncultured delta proteobacterium
Lineage: Bacteria; Deltaproteobacteria
Description: partial 16S ribosomal RNA
Rfam family: Bacterial small subunit ribosomal RNA
Source: RNAcentral
CGUGUAGGCGGCUUUGCAAGUCGGGUGUGAAAGCCCUCAGCUCAACUGAGGAAGUGCGCCCGAAACUGCAGAGCUUGAGUACCGGAGAGGAUGGCGGAAUUCCCCAAGUAGAGGUGAAAUUCGUAGAUAUGGGGAGGAACACCGGUGGCGAAGGCGGCCAUCUGGACGGUCACUGACGCUGAGACGCGAAAGCGUGGGUAGCAAACA